This 497-nucleotide ribosomal RNA is filed under the name uncultured bacterium. RNAcentral describes it as "partial 16S ribosomal RNA". It matches the Rfam family "Bacterial small subunit ribosomal RNA", at positions 28 to 507 of the family's 1533-position model. The record is from RNAcentral.
GACGAACGCUGGCGGCGUGCCUAAUACAUGCAAGUUGAGCGCUGAAGGUUGGUACUUGUACCAACUGGAUGAGCAGCGAACGGGUGAGUAACGCGUGGGGAAUCUGCCUUUGAGCGGGGGACAACAUUUGGAAACGAAUGCUAAUACCGCAUAAAAACUUUAAACACAAGUUUUAAGUUUGAAAGAUGCAAUUGCAUCACUCAAAGAUGAUCCCGCGUUGUAUUAGCUAGUUGGUGAGGUAAAGGCUCACCAAGGCGAUGAUACAUAGCCGACCUGAGGGGGUGAUCGGCCACAUUGGGACUGAGACACGGCCCAAACUCCUACGGGGGGCAGCAGUAGGGAAUCUUCGGCAAUGGACGAAAGUCUGACCGAGCAACGCCGCGUGAGUGAAGAAGGUUUUCGGAUCGUAAAACUCUGUUGGUAGAGAAGAACGUUGGUGAGAGUGGAAAGCUCAUCAAGUGACGGUAACUACCCAGAAAGGGACGGCUAACUACGUG